RNAcentral lists this ribosomal RNA (467 nucleotides) under uncultured bacterium. Its description in RNAcentral is "partial 16S ribosomal RNA". It matches the Rfam family "Bacterial small subunit ribosomal RNA", at positions 28 to 507 of the family's 1533-position model. The record is from RNAcentral.
GAUGAACGCUGGCGGCGCGCCUAACACAUGCAAGUCUAACGAUUAAAGCACCUUCGGGUGUGUAUAAAGUGGCGAACGGCUGAGUAACACGUGGGCAACCUGCCCCUUUCAUUGGGAUAGCCACGGGAAACCGUGGAUAAUACCGAAUACUUCGAGACUUCCGCAUGGAAGACUCGAGAAAGCUCCGGCGGAGAGGGAUGGGCCCGCGGCCUGUUAGCUUGUUGGUGGGGUAACGGCCUACCAAGGCAAUGAUGGGUAGCUGGGUUGAGAGACCGACCAGCCAGAUUGGGACUGAGACACGGCCCAGACUCCUACGGGAGGCAGCAGUAGGGAAUCUUGCACAAUGGGCGAAAGCCUGAUGCAGCGACGCCGCGUGCGGGAUGAAGGCCUUCGGGUUGUAAACCGCUUUCAGCAGGGACGAGGCGAAAGUGACGGUACCUGCAGAAGAAGCCCCGGCUAACUACGUG